Marmota flaviventris (yellow-bellied marmot) is the source of this 298-nucleotide long non-coding RNA. RefSeq lists it as uncharacterized. The record is from RefSeq and is a predicted model, not a curated record. NCBI's taxonomy places the organism in Eukaryota, Metazoa, Chordata, Mammalia, Rodentia, Sciuridae.
UGGGCAGUUAAGCAACGCAACGAAGCUGUUGUGAGAAACCAAGAAUGCAGAGAGAAGAAGCACCCCUGGACGAUAACUGUGUCUCCACCACACAAGUGUAUAGACGAGGCCCCUGAGGACAAGACCUCAGGCUCCUGGCUCGGCAGGAUGCAGACAUCUAAGGCUGAGCAAGUACUCUACUGCUGAGCUACACCCCCUGUCCUUAAUUGUCACUUAACACUGCUUCAGAAGGCAGCUCACAAGCCCAGGGCUUCAAAAUUUCUUGAAAUCAAAAAAGGGAAGAAAUUAUUCCAUUAAA